AAGAACCUACGGGAGGCAGCAGUGGGGAAUAUUGCACAAUGGGGGAAACCCUGAUGCAGCAACGCCGCGUGAAGGAAGAAGGGUUUCGGCUCGUAAACUUCUAUCAACAGGGACGAAAGAAAUGACGGUACCUGAAUAAGAAGCCCCGGCUAACUACGUGCCAGCAGCCGCGGUAAUACGUAGGGGGCAAGCGUUAUCCGGAAUUACUGGGUGUAAAGGGUGAGUAGGCGGCAUGGUAAGCCAGAUGUGAAAGCCUUGGGCUUAACCCGCGGAUUGCAUUUGGAACUAUCAAGCUAGAGGACAGG
RNAcentral lists this ribosomal RNA (305 nucleotides) under uncultured bacterium. RNAcentral's name for it is "bacterial SSU rRNA". It matches the Rfam family "Bacterial small subunit ribosomal RNA", at positions 333 to 652 of the family's 1533-position model. The record is from RNAcentral.